This is a long non-coding RNA of Suricata suricatta (meerkat), 1272 nucleotides long. RefSeq lists it as uncharacterized. Lineage: Eukaryota; Metazoa; Chordata; Mammalia; Carnivora; Herpestidae. The record is from RefSeq and is a predicted model, not a curated record. The transcript is spliced from 3 exons.
GCCAUGGGAACGGAACGCCGCGGACAGAGCCUAGAGCGUCGGAGCCUGUAGCCAUAGCAACGCGGGGAACUUCCGGCCCCGGGAAAUUCCUGGGCGCUGGGGCCAACCCGCGAUCCCACCGCACCCCGGGCUUUCAGCUCUCGGCGGGAGCCACUCGAAUAGCCUCAGGCUUGUCUCCAGAACUUCCCUCAGCUGCGGCUGAAACGUCACCUGUUGUUUUUCUCAAAGGGACUUUACCUGUCUGGAAUGAGGAUGCCGGAAGAGCAGAGAAAUCCAUCGGAGGGCGGAAGAGAGCGCCGCGCUCCAUGGCCUACCCACGUAAAGCUGCGGUGUACCCCUGCGCGCCCCCUGCACCCCCGCAGUCCCCCGGGUGUUCUGGCUCCCGGAGAGAAAAGGCUCAAGUAUAACUAUUAACGGUGUAGGCACCAUCUGUGUGUGCCUCUUCCGGUAAGAUUUGAGCCAUGCUCCAUCAGGAACGCGGAGUGCAGGAAAUGAGUAGUUUAAGUAAUGGGCCACUAAUUCUGCUAAUGCUUAGCAAUUCCGAGAACAUUUUCGGGGCGGGGGGCACACUUGGCUAACACGACACAGCCCUAAUUUAUGCAGCACGUGUUCUUAUACCACUUCUCUUCACUGGCCUGACAUACACAGUAACAAUAAUUCAGAUCUGACAGGUGCAGGGCAACAUGUGGCUAGUACCCCCAGGAACAGCACCGGCUCCGCACAGCGUUUAAGAGUGUUGUCACGAACCCUACAAUAAACGACGGGCCUAUGGCAAGUCAAGCUGAAGGCACCGCUGCUGCAGAAUCCCACAGAGGAGGCAUGUGAACAAGGCUCCUUUCAGAUUCUCCCAUCACCAAAUAAACUGAUUAUCUCUAUCUCAACUCCAAAGACUGAAACUUAAGGACAAGGAAAUCCACCUAUCCUAAAGUACAAUAAACAGCAUCCAUUCAAAGUUUACAGGUGGAAGAGUUUCGAUAGACAUGCACCCAAGGAACCACCACGAGAACCAAGAUACAGAAGAUUUCCAUUAUGUCUACAAGUUUCUGCACGCUUCAUCAUGGCCAACACCUGCCCACCCUGUCCCCAGGCAACCACCACUCUCUUUUUUGCAUUUUCUAGAAUUCCUAUAAAUGGAACAUCAUGGGUAUGAAUUUGUGCCUGGCUGUUUUCACUCAGCCUGAUGAUUUUCAGAUUCACCCGUGAUGCUGCUUGCGAAGGACAUUAGGAUGGGUUCUAGUAUUUGGGGAUAUGUGAAUAAAGCUUCUGCAAACA